CACGUAGGGGGCAAGCGUUGUCCGGAAUUAUUGGGCGUAAAGAGCUCGUAGGCGGUGUGUCACGUCGGCCGUGAAAACCUGCAGCUUAACUGUGGGCGUGCGGUCGAUACGGGCAUCACUGGAGUUCGGCAGGGGAGACUGGAAUUCCUGGUGUAGCGGUGAAAUGCGCAGAUAUCAGGAGGAACACCGAUGGCGAAGGCAGGUCUCUGGGCCACUACUGACGCUGAGAAGCGAAAGCAUGGGGAGCGAACAGG
RNAcentral lists this ribosomal RNA (254 nucleotides) under uncultured bacterium. RNAcentral's name for it is "partial 16S ribosomal RNA". It matches the Rfam family "Bacterial small subunit ribosomal RNA", at positions 524 to 776 of the family's 1533-position model. The record is from RNAcentral.